GACGUAGGGGGCGAGCGUUGUCCGGAAUUAUUGGGCGUAAAGAGCUCGUAGGCGGUUUGUCGCGUCUGCUGUGAAAUCUGGGGGCUCAACCCCCAGCCUGCAGUGGGUACGGGCAGACUAGAGUGCGGUAGGGGAGAUUGGAAUUCCUGGUGUAGCGGUGGAAUGCGCAGAUAUCAGGAGGAACACCGAUGGCGAAGGCAGAUCUCUGGGCCGUAACUGACGCUGAGGAGCGAAAGCAUGGGGAGCGAACAGG
Molecule: ribosomal RNA, 253 nt
Filed under: uncultured bacterium
Lineage: Bacteria
Description: partial 16S ribosomal RNA
Rfam family: Bacterial small subunit ribosomal RNA
Source: RNAcentral